AAACAUUUCGUUAAUAAUUCGGGCAUCUGCCUAAAAUAAAAUAAAUGAUUAAUUACAUUAAAGAUAAAAGUAAAUUAAAUCAGGGUAUACAAAUAAAGUGCAAAGUGUGUGAAAAGUGAAGCAAAUUCGCGACAAGUACGAAAAAUUAGCUGACCCCCAUGGCCCUUCUUCAAUUUCCUUUUUUUAUGCCAAUUACUUUUUUAAUUGCGACACUUUCAAAAAUCAAGAAAAAAAGUUCAUCAAUGUGUGCAAAAAGUGAAAAGCCUUUUGCGAAAAAUGUGAGUGCCAGCCGUUGCUAAUUGAAGUUCAAUGGAAAAAUGACCAAAAGUUAAUGAUGACAUUUCGCCGGCAGAAAAAAAUAGCAAAACACAAUACGUAAAGCAGCACAAAUAGGAAUGGAAACGAAAGAGUAUAAGAGCUGCUGAUUUGCUCUGCGCGUAGAUUUGAGAUUUGUGGAUUGAAAUUUUACACCUCAUUUGGAAAAGUCGAGCAUUGACAGCUUUGCGAUAGUUCGACUUCAUGGAAAGUGGAGAUAACAUGGAGGGCAUGAAACUUGGAGAUGAGGGUUUGACAUUUGGAGAUGUAGCUACUAGCUACUAGCUACUCCUAUUACAAUCUACUCAAAUUGCUACUCAAAUUUGCAGAAAACAUCGAUACAUUUAUGACAUUUAUGGUUGUCUUAGAAUCGAUUAAUAUCGAUAACAAACUUUCUUAUAUCUGAUGAUUUUAUGAGCGAAAGUCUACAAUUUGCUGUGGGUUAAUGUGGA
This 767-nucleotide small RNA is filed under the name Drosophila mojavensis. RNAcentral's name for it is "GI26125". Lineage: Eukaryota; Metazoa; Arthropoda; Insecta; Diptera; Drosophilidae. The record is from RNAcentral.